This 440-nucleotide ribosomal RNA is filed under the name uncultured bacterium. RNAcentral describes it as "partial 16S ribosomal RNA". It matches the Rfam family "Bacterial small subunit ribosomal RNA", at positions 338 to 795 of the family's 1533-position model. The record is from RNAcentral.
CCUACGGGAGGCAGCAGUAGGGAAUAUUGCUCAAUGGGGGAAACCCUGAAGCAGCAACGCCGCGUGGAGGAUGAAGGUUUUCGGAUUGUAAACUCCUUUUGUUAGAGAAGAUAAUGACGGUAUCUAACGAAUAAGCACCGGCUAACUCCGUGCCAGCAGCCGCGGUAAUACGGAGGGUGCAAGCGUUACUCGGAACCACUGGGCGUAAAGGGCGCGUAGGCGGGAUAGCAAGUCAGAUGUGAAAUCCUAUGGCUUAACCAUAGAACUGCAUUUGAAACUGUUAUUCUAGAGUAUGGGAGAGGUAGGUGGAAUUCUUGGUGUAGGGGUAAAAUCCGUAGAGAUCAAGAGGAAUACUCAUUGCGAAGGCGACCUGCUAGAACAUAACUGACGCUGAUGCGCGAAAGCGUGGGGAGCAAACAGGAUUAGAUACCCGGGUAGUC